CGGAAUUCAAUGGCAAGCUUGGAAAUGUUAGGUGGUGGCUAGAUAUGGUGACUUGUUCGAAUGGCAGCUUGAUGAUGUGGCAUUGGGCGAUGGAGUGGCGGUUGGCGAGUUACGACGGUGUCGACUUAGCGGACUGAGGUGUCUUGAUGGUACUGAAGGUAGGCUGAGACAGCAAGUCUUGUGGUGAUGUGAAUGGCGUAGCUCGAUGAUGAGCUUGUUAAUAUGGCGUGGACCAUUAAACAUUUGAGGCUCACAAUCUAUUGAGCGAAAAAUUUGGAUGUCACAAUCGUGGGAUGAUCAUUUAUAUUC
RNAcentral lists this long non-coding RNA (309 nucleotides) under Eucalyptus grandis. RNAcentral's name for it is "long non-coding RNA (EGRA_LNC006592)". The record is from RNAcentral. Lineage: Eukaryota; Viridiplantae; Streptophyta; Magnoliopsida; Myrtales; Myrtaceae.